GCCACACCUAAAAUAAACAUCAAUGGCAAGGGUAGGUCAACUGCAGCAGUUUCUGAACAAGAAAACCAGAGGCAGAGCGUGAUCAAUAACAAAAUGACUGGAAGAAAGAGAAGGGAGAGAAAGACAGCCAGAGAAGCAACUUCAGAGGCAAAAUAGACACUAAACCCAAUGCCUUUUUGAAAUGCUGUGAAAGGAACAACAUAGCAAAAUUUAAGAAUAACUAUUAACCCAGACCGUCAUGCAGGUGUGAUGUUAGCAGCUGCUUAGAAACUUUCUCCCCCAGUGAGAAAGAAGAACAACUGUGUCCAAAAUGACAAAAGAAUGGAUCAUUAACAAGAUAUUAUAGAAAACUACAUUCUGGUGAGAAACUCUGAUGAAACACAACAGCCCAUAUUGUCGAUGAAAUAAUUCUUCAAUCAUAGGUGAGUGUGACCUGCAGAAGACACUGAUACUACUUGUCAUGAACUCCCAGUUGAGGACUCAGAGAAAUUAAAGAGAAGACCUAAUGGGAGCUGUAGGAGCUACAAUCUUGCUACUGACCCAUCUCCACAGGAUAAAGGCAAAUCAGUGACACUGAGCAUACACGGUUUACAACUAUAGUUCCCAAUUCUGAAAUCUACAAACUAAAUGGAUACCAGUAACUUCAGUAAAACAAACAAAAAGAAGGCUGUUAACUACCUGGAACACAACUACUUAUAAACAUAACCGCUCCUCUGCAGUUACAUGCAGGUUGAAUGCGUUACUCAGUCCUUUAGUGGGGAAAACACACCUCUGGACUUCACUAUGCUUUUGCAGCAUUAUGAUAAGAUAGUUAUUUAAUAGCUAUAUUUCCCUAUUAUAUAACUAUAUAAAGAAAAUUCUAGGUAAUGUGCCAAGUAUUUUUCAGUAGUGAGUAAAGUUUUCAUUUAUACCUUUGUAUCAUCAUAAUUCAUUUAUAUAGUGGUCUCCUAAGCAAAUCUAACCACUUCAUAAUGUAACACAAUGUAACACAUAAAUCUAACACACACACACAAAUGCAUAAGGAAAAAAAUCUAUUUUAUCCCUUAUUACAGGAGAAAAUAGAGAAAGAAAUGUUAUUUAAAAACAUUUUUUUAAAUUAGGGUUUAAAAACUCCCUCAUUUUCAGAAAGUUGAUUCUCACACACUUUUCUUCCAUUAUUCACUCCUUCCCUAAAUACCUUAAGGCUUGGCUAUGCCAGUCUUAUGAAGCCUAUUUCUCCAUAAACUUAAAGUAUGUUCACACUAAGGCAAAGUGAGACUUGCACUUAUAGGAGGUAUGAUGAAAGAGGAAACAUGUCCUUGGAACUUGGGGCGGCAGAUUUAGGUGAGAUGCUGAAAUGGGAAUAGAAUGGCAUGCUGAAAGAGUGUGCAGUAAAAAGGAAACUAACUCAAUGAUCAUCUGUGACAUGUCAACAAGUUUGUUUCUGCAGGAAUUCUGCAAAAUCAGGCUAUCCC
This 1454-nucleotide long non-coding RNA is filed under the name Homo sapiens (human). RNAcentral describes it as "HSALNT0173136". Lineage: Eukaryota; Metazoa; Chordata; Mammalia; Primates; Hominidae. The record is from RNAcentral.